RNAcentral lists this ribosomal RNA (240 nucleotides) under uncultured bacterium. RNAcentral's name for it is "partial 16S ribosomal RNA". It matches the Rfam family "Bacterial small subunit ribosomal RNA", at positions 524 to 763 of the family's 1533-position model. The record is from RNAcentral.
GACGUAGGGCGCGAGCGUUGUCCGGAUUUAUUGGGCGUAAAGAGCUCGUAGGCGGUCUGUUGCGUCGGCUGUGAAAACCCGGGGCUCAACCCCGGGCCUGCAGCCGAUACGGGCAGACUAGAGUUCGGCAGGGGAGACUGGAAUUCCUGGUGUAGCGGUCGAAAUGCGCAGAUAUCAGGAGGAACACCGGUGCGAAGGCGGGUCUCUGGGCAACAACUGACGCUGAGGAGCGAAGGCGUG